This is a non-coding RNA of Myotis brandtii (Brandt's bat), 131 nucleotides long. The record is from Rfam. NCBI's taxonomy places the organism in Eukaryota, Metazoa, Chordata, Mammalia, Chiroptera, Vespertilionidae.
CCCGCCACUGCACCUGACCACUUCUCUGUUGGCUGGUGCAUUCCAGUGGUGAGCUGAAAGCAAACCCCAGCUUAGGAAACAGGGUCAUUCUUCAUGUGGGUGACUCUGUGCCGAACAACCAGGAUAAAAAA